Molecule: long non-coding RNA, 398 nt
Filed under: Vigna radiata
Lineage: Eukaryota; Viridiplantae; Streptophyta; Magnoliopsida; Fabales; Fabaceae
Description: long non-coding RNA (VRAD_LNC010992)
Source: RNAcentral
UGGUGAACGUUGUCAUUUUUUUCCUCUCAAAGCUCUUUAUCAUGUAAGUUUAGCUAUCUGAAAACAUCUUAUCAUUCAUUCUAUAAAUCAUUGUGGCGUGUAUUGUCGUAUGUUAGGAACUAGGUUUUCAUCACCUUUAACAAAACCUUAAUCGUGCAUAUCCUCCCAUUUAUGAAAUCUUAUGACAUUUUCCCCCUCGCCAAUCACACUGUCAUUCAAGUCUCUAACCCUCACUUAAUCCCUCACCUCACACUUCAUGUUUACUUGCUUCAUCUUCAACUAUUGAGUCAUGAAACCUAAUUAACUUUCAUAAUCAUUGCUUCAUCUUCAACUAGUAAUUUAUCAAACCUAAUUAGCUUUCAUGAUCAUUGCCAAGAUGGUCUUAGUGAUCACCACCA